Molecule: non-coding RNA, 75 nt
Organism: Myotis lucifugus (little brown bat)
Lineage: Eukaryota; Metazoa; Chordata; Mammalia; Chiroptera; Vespertilionidae
Source: Rfam
AGACACCCUUCUGGGGCAAGACUUGCUUCAGUGGGGCUUUGGUGCUCACUGAGUCUUCCCCCUGAGUGUGUCCCU